This 402-nucleotide ribosomal RNA is filed under the name uncultured bacterium. Its description in RNAcentral is "bacterial SSU rRNA". It matches the Rfam family "Bacterial small subunit ribosomal RNA", at positions 355 to 774 of the family's 1533-position model. The record is from RNAcentral.
UGGGGAAUAUUGGACAAUGGGCGAAAGCCUGAUCCAGCCAUGCCGCGUGAGUGAUGAAGGCCCUAGGGUUGUAAAGCUCUUUUGUGCGGGAAGAUAAUGACGGUACCGCAAGAAUAAGCCCCGGCUAACUUCGCGCCAGCAGCCGCGGUAAUACGAAGGGGGCUAGCGUUGCUCGGAAUCACUGGGCGUAAAGGGUGCGUAGGCGGGUUUCUAAGUCAGAGGUGAAAGCCUGGAGCUCAACUCCAGAACUGCCUUUGAUACUGGAAUUCUUGAGUUCGGGAGAGGUGAGUGGAACUGCGAGUGUAGAGGUGAAAUUCGUAGAUAUUCGCAAGAACACCAGUGGCGAAGGCGGCUCACUGGCCCGAUACUGACGCUGAGGCACGAAAGCGUGGGGAGCAAACA